GUUUAUAUAAUUUAUAUAGAAUAUUGCACUGAAGCUGCAAAGGAGAAUAAUUGUUACGUCUGUAAACG
RNAcentral lists this transfer RNA (68 nucleotides) under Tritodynamia horvathi. RNAcentral describes it as "tRNA-Phe". Lineage: Eukaryota; Metazoa; Arthropoda; Malacostraca; Decapoda; Varunidae. The record is from RNAcentral.